AGAGUUUGAUCCUGGCUCAGAAUCAACGCUGGCGGCGCGCUUAACACAUGCAAGUCGCACGAGAAAGUGGAGCAAUCCAUGAGUACAGUGGCGUACGGGUGAGUAACACGUGGAUCAUCUACCUCUUGAUGGGGAAUAACCCUGGGAAACCGGGGCUAAUACCGCAUAAGCCUGAAAAGGGAAAGCAGCAAUGCGUCGAGAGAGGAGUCCGCGGCCGAUUAGCUAGUUGGUAGGGUAAAGGCCUACCAAGGCAAUGAUCGGUAGCCGGCCUGAGAGGGCACACGGCCACACUGGCACUGAAACACGGGCCAGACUCCUACGGGAGGCAGCAGUGGGGAAUCUUGCACAAUGGAGGAAACUCUGAUGCAGCGACGCCGCGUGAGCGAUGAAGCCCUUCGGGGUGUAAGGCUCUUUCGGCAGGAACGAUAAUGACGGUACCUGCAGAAGAAGCUGCGGCUAACUACGUGCCAGCAGCCGCGGUAAUACGUAGGCAGCAAGCGUUGUUCGGAAUUACUGGGCGUAAAGAGUGUGUAGGCGGUUCUCUAAGUUCCGUGUGAAAUCUCCCGGCUCAACUGGGAGGGUGCGCGGGAAACUGGAGGGCUUGAGUAUGGGAGAGGAAAGCGGAAUUCCUGGUGUAGCGGUGAAAUGCGUAGAUAUCAGGAGGAACACCUGCGGUGUAGACAGCUUUCUGGACCAUCACUGACGCUGAGACACGAAAGCGUGGGUAGCAAACAGGAUUAGAUACCCUAGUAGUCC
RNAcentral lists this ribosomal RNA (756 nucleotides) under uncultured bacterium. Its description in RNAcentral is "bacterial SSU rRNA". It matches the Rfam family "Bacterial small subunit ribosomal RNA", at positions 8 to 796 of the family's 1533-position model. The record is from RNAcentral.